ACUGGUGGGGACCGGUGGCUAUCACCUGUGCAGCUAGACCAGAAGAUAGACUGUGAGAUAUCAGUAACCCCUUCCCACACCCAGACCCAGGUUGACCUUGACCACAGUCAUAAAACCAUUUAAAUGUCUGUAUUUACAAGUGAGACAUUUGGCAGUAAAUUUCAGUUCCAGCAUUCAGAAAGCCAAUAACAACAUACUUGUUUAUUGGCAAAUACCAAUAAAACUGCAUUUC
This 232-nucleotide long non-coding RNA is filed under the name Pan troglodytes (chimpanzee). RNAcentral describes it as "long non-coding RNA NONPTRT006699". The record is from RNAcentral. Lineage: Eukaryota; Metazoa; Chordata; Mammalia; Primates; Hominidae.